AUGAACGCUGGCGGCGUGCCUAAUACAUGCAAGUCGAGCGAACAGACGAGGAGCUUGCUCCUCUGACGUUAGCGGCGGACGGGUGAGUAACACGCGGAUAACCUACCUAUAAGACUGGGAUAACUUCGGGAAACCGGAGCUAAUACCGGAUAAUAUAUUGAACCGCAUGGUUCAAUAGUGAAAGACGGUUUUGCUGUCACUUAUAGAUGGAUCCGCGCCGCAUUAGCUAGUUGGUAAGGUAACGGCUUACCAAGGCAACGAUGCGUAGCCGACCUGAGAGGGUGAUCGGCCACACUGGAACUGAGACACGUUCCAGACUCCUACGGGAGGCAGCAGUAGGGAAUCUUCCGCAAUGGGCGAAAGCCUGACGGAGCAACGCCGCGUGAGUGAUGAAGGUCUUCGGAUCGUAAAACUCUGUUAUUAGGGAAGAACAAAUGUGUAAGUAACUAUGCACGUCUUGACGGUACCUAAUCAGAAAGCCACGGCUAACUACGUG
Molecule: ribosomal RNA, 496 nt
Filed under: uncultured bacterium
Lineage: Bacteria
Description: partial 16S ribosomal RNA
Rfam family: Bacterial small subunit ribosomal RNA
Source: RNAcentral